Molecule: ribosomal RNA, 356 nt
Filed under: uncultured soil bacterium
Lineage: Bacteria
Description: bacterial SSU rRNA
Rfam family: Bacterial small subunit ribosomal RNA
Source: RNAcentral
AGGACGAAUGCUGGCGGCGUGCUUAACACAUGCAAGUCGAGCGGUAAGGCCUUUCGGGGUUACACGAGCGGCGAACGGGUGAGUAACACGUGGGUGAUCUGCCCUGCACUUCGGGAUAAGCCUGGGAAACUGGGUCUAAUACCGGAUAUGACCUCAGGUUGCAUGACUUGGGGGUGGGAAAGAUUUAUCGGUGCAGGAUGGGCCCGCGGCCUAUCAGCUUGUUGGUGGGGUAAUGGCCUACCAAGGCGGACGACGGGUAGCCGACCUGAGAGGGUGACCGGCCACACUGGGGACUGAGACACGGCCCAGACUCCCUACGGGAGGCAGCGAGGUGGGGAAUAUUGCACAAUGGGACG